RNAcentral lists this long non-coding RNA (1074 nucleotides) under Catharus ustulatus (Swainson's thrush). RNAcentral's name for it is "lncRNA (ENSCUSG00005007565.1)". The record is from RNAcentral. Lineage: Eukaryota; Metazoa; Chordata; Aves; Passeriformes; Turdidae.
CCGGCGCCGUCCCAGCCCAUUGGGCGAGGCCGCGGCGCUGCCCCGCCCCCGGCGCUAUCGGUUGGGGCGAGCCGAGAGUAAAUAGACGCCGGAGCCCAAGAUGGCGGAGCCGCCCAGUCCCGGUCGUGGCGCGGCGCCUCCCGAGUCGGAGCUGCUCGGCGCCAGGACGGCCCCGGACGCGAAAGGUUCCCGCGGAUCCCAGCCAGCCGCCAAGAAGGUGAAGGGAGCCGAGGAGCGGAGCAUGAAGGGCGCUAAGCGCGUCAACGGUGAAGGGGGCGGCGGUGGCGGGAGCGCCAAGCAGCCGCUGCCCGCGGUCGUGCCCAGCUACAGCGGCCCCGGGCCGUGGGGCUUCGCCGCGCUGCCCUCGGGCCCCUCGGCGGGCGCGGGGGGCUUUGCGUUCUCUUCCCCGCUGGCCCGGAAGCUGCUGCCGCCCGCCGUGCUGCUGCCGCCGUCCGCCUCCCCCUCCUCGUCCCAGGCGCAGCACCAGCACCGCCACCACCGGCACCGCCUGGCGCUGGCGGCCGAGGCGGGAGGCGGCGGCAGCGCCAAGCCCAAGAGACCCAAGGAAAAGCGGGACAAGGAGAGGAGGAAGCACGGGGCGCUGCCCGUGGUGGCGGCGGCGGGAGAUGGCGGCGGGGCCCUGAAGCGGGAGGAGAACGGCGAGGUGAAGCUGCUGUUCCCGAAAGGUCAAAUCAAAGACAAAGUUAAAGAAAGGGAAAAGAAGCAGAAAGAAAAGAAGAAGCACAAAAUAAUGAAUGAAAUCAAGAAAGAAAAUGGAGAGAUCAAAUUGCUGCAGAAAGGUAGGUUAAAACUAUGUAGUGUUUUUUCAUUCUAGUACUAGAAGUAUUUGUGAUUGGAUUCUGUGUUUUAAUACUAUGGUUUUCAUUUGACUUAUACCAUUCUUCCUGGUUAGUUGGUGCAAGAGUUGCAAAUGUACACCUGAUAUAGGUGUUAUUUUUUUUGUCAGCUGUGCUAGGUACUGGAAAUUAAAGAUAAAACUAUCAUCAGUGUUGCAUAUGUAAUAGUGGUAAUAGGAAGGACCAAGGAACAAUAGUAGUGAUUCUUCAAUAACUG